AGCAGCCGCGGUAAUUCCAGCUCCAAUAGCGUAUAUUAAAGUUGCUGCAGUUAAAAGCUCGUAGUUGAAUUUCGGGACUAAUAUGUCGGUCGUGCCUCGGUACGUACUGGUUUAUUGGUUUCUCCUUUCUGAAGAACCAUGAUGUCAUUUAUUUGGUGUCGUGGGGAAUCAGGACUGUUACUUUGAAAAAUUAGAGUGUUUAAAGCAGGCUCACGCUUGAAUACAUUAGCAUGGAAUAAUGAAAUAGGGCGUUUGAUUCUAUUUUGUUGGUUUCUAGGAUCGACGUAAUGAUUAAUAGGGAUAGUUGGGGGCAUUAGUAUUCAAUUGUCAGAGGUGAAAUUCUUGGAUUUAUUGAAGACUAACUACUGCGAAAGCAUUUGCCAAGGAUGUUUUCAUUAAUCAAGAACGAAAGUUAGGGGAUCGAAGACGAUCAGAUACCGUCGUAGUCUUAACCAUAAACUACGCCGACUAGGGAUCGGAUGAUGUUAAUUUUUAAUGACUCAUUCGGCGCCUUACGGGA
Molecule: unclassified non-coding RNA, 520 nt
Filed under: uncultured Glomus
Lineage: Eukaryota; Fungi; Glomeromycota; Glomeromycetes; Glomerales; Glomeraceae
Description: SSU rRNA
Rfam family: Eukaryotic small subunit ribosomal RNA
Source: RNAcentral